This 495-nucleotide ribosomal RNA is filed under the name uncultured bacterium. RNAcentral describes it as "partial 16S ribosomal RNA". It matches the Rfam family "Bacterial small subunit ribosomal RNA", at positions 28 to 505 of the family's 1533-position model. The record is from RNAcentral.
GACGAACGCUGGCGGCGUGCCUAAUACAUGCAAGUUGAGCGAUGAAGAUUGGUGCUUGCACCAAUUUGAAGAGCAGCGAACGGGUGAGUAACGCGUGGGGGAUCUGCCUUUGAGCGGGGGACAACAUUUGGAAACGAAUGCUAAUACCGCAUAACAACUUUAAACAUAAGUUUUAAGUUUGAAAGAUGCAAUUGCAUCACUCAAAGAUGAUCCCGCGUUGUAUUAGCUAGUUGGUGAGGUAAAGGCUCACCAAGGCGAUGAUACAUAGCCGACCUGAGAGGGUGAUCGGCCACAUUGGGACUGAGACACGGCCCAAACUCCUACGGGAGGCAGCAGUAGGGAAUCUUCGGCAAUGGACGAAAGUCUGACCGAGCAACGCCGCGUGAGUGAAGAAGGUUUUCGGAUCGUAAAACUCUGUUGGUAGAGAUGAACGUUGGUGAGAGUGGAAAGCUCAUCAAGUGACGGUAACUACCCAGAAAGGGACGGCUAACUACG